CUAGCACAUCAAUGUCCCGCAUGCAAAUCUCCCAUUCAUCACCAGAAACUGAUUCCUGUUUGUGCAACAGCCGGCGGUUCUUCUCACUCAAUACCAAUUUAUAUUUCAGGUUCGUUUCGUAGCCCUAAAUCAAAUCAAACCAAACUAAAUUAGUCAGUUUACUUUAAUUUGUUUCAGUUUACAUCAAAUUAUAACUUAUAAACCAUAAUUACCAGGCACUGAAAUCCCUAGCCGUCCAACGCGGCAAAGAUCAGAAAUUUCUCCACCUUGUCGAUCUGGUGCAAAUAUUUUCAAUGGCAGCCAACUCAGAUUGAUUGCAAGGGAAUUUCCGC
Molecule: long non-coding RNA, 332 nt
Filed under: Carica papaya (papaya)
Lineage: Eukaryota; Viridiplantae; Streptophyta; Magnoliopsida; Brassicales; Caricaceae
Description: long non-coding RNA (CPAP_LNC008730)
Source: RNAcentral